UAACCACUGCUGCUGGUGGAGAGACCUGGCUGUCGCCUGCAUCUCACUUUCAGAAUGUGGCCCUGAUUAAGCUCCGCAGAUUCGGGCCACAACACCCCUGAGUUUACCGGUUUUGGUUUCUUCCUUGUGACCUUCGGCUCCAGGAUGCAGCACAGCUCCUCACUGCACUAUUUAUCAGAAUGUUGCUCUGCAUGCUUGAAAGUUUCCCCAAACAGAGGUACAUAAAAACAAACAGAGGCGAAACACAAAUCCCAUCAGCCCUGGAGGAAAAGGCCCUGAAGCUCUUCCAGUGCAGAGGCCACGCAGAGGACAGGCUCCUACCUGUGCACAUCAGCCACGCCUGGGGCGCCUCCUGGAGUCCAGGCUGCUGGCAAUGGAAUUCAUCAUGUUGCUGAUGUCACUAAUGAUGCGCUGGACACUUGAAGUAAGAGCCCUUUGAAGCUGACGUGCUGCAGGAUAAAACACACUCUUUCUCUGGAAAAGAGAAAGCCAAGAUACUGUGGGGGCACAAGGAACAAUGGAGCCAAUGAAACGGAGGUCAGAGCUGAAGGUUUCUGCUACAAGCAAGCUAUAUACAGGUGUUCAGAUGUGUCCGGAGUUUCUUCCUUCUGGUGGGUUUGCGGUUUCGCUGACUUCAAGAGUGAAGCUGCAGACCUUCGCGUUGAGUGUUACAGCUCUUAAAGGCCGCGCGUCUGGAGUUGUUCGUUCCUCCUGAUGAGUUCGUGGUCUCCCUGGCUUCAGGUGUAAAGCUGCAGACCUUCGCGGUGAGUGUUACAGCUCAUAAAGGUGGUGCAGACCCAAAAAGUGAGCAGCAGCAAGAUUUACUGCAAAGAGCAAAGCACAAAGAGUCCACAGCAUGGAAAUGGAUCCCAGCAGUUUGCCGCUCCUGGCUUGGGAGGCCUGCUUUCGUUCCCUUAUCUGGCCCCACCCACAUCCUACUGCUUGGUCCAUUUUAUAGAGAGCUGAUUGGUCCAUUUUACAGAGAGCUGAUUGGUCCGUUUUACAGAGAGCUGAUGGGUCCGUUUUGACAAAGCACUGAUUGGUGCGUUUACAAACCUUCAGCUAGACAGAAACGUUCUUCAGGUCCUCACCUGACCCAGAAGCCUAGCCGGCUUCACUUCUCAAUGGCAGUCGCUAUAGGACUUUGCAGCACCUAGCCCAGGCACUCUGGCAGCCCAGAGGGAACUCAUCUCCUGAUCAAGCCCAGCAGGCACCGGCUGGCUGCGCUGAGCGCGGGGCCUUCUGAGCCCGGCCCACCCGAACCCGCGCAGGCCCCUGAGUGCCGCUUGCGGCCCUGGCUCCCAGACGUUCCUCUCCCUCCACACCUCCCCGUGAGCAGAGGGAGCCGGCUCCUGCCUCGGCCAGCCCCAGAGAGGGGCCCCCACAGCGCAGCAGCGGGUUGAAGGGCUCCUCAAGCGCGUCCAGAGCCAUUGGACUCUGAGGCCGAGAAGGCGCCGAGAGCGAGUGAGGGCUGCUAGCACGUUGUCACCUCCCACUUCUAGGUUGUAUAAGGAUUACAUGAGUCAAUAUAUAUAAAACAUUUGAACAGUGGUCUGGCACAUAGUAAUUGCUACACACGUUUCUAAGGUGAUUCUGGACAAGCUAUUACAAAAUAUCUGUUCUUUACCAAAGUAGAGCUUAUUAGCACAAUCAUGAGACUGGAUAUAAUUUCACAACAUCAAAAUAAUUUCUAGCCCCAAAAGAAAAAACAAACCAAAAACACUGAGAAAUAAAUUCUGCUUUCUCAUUGAGUUUCUAAGGAAGUCAAUCUGAAGUUUAACUUUCUUUAAAAUUAUUGUUCUAACUUCAGUUUUCUAGGAGUUUGACAAAAUUUUUAAGUUUGAGAAGUACAUAGAGGCAGUCAGCAAUCUAGUAUCUGUUAAUUUUUCUAUGUUAAAAGGCUUCGAUUCACCUAUUAUUACAUUUGUCAUCUUAAGAACAAUAGUGCACGGGUUGAAAUAAAACAUUCUUAUUUGUG
RNAcentral lists this long non-coding RNA (1978 nucleotides) under Homo sapiens (human). Its description in RNAcentral is "HSALNT0010062". The record is from RNAcentral. Lineage: Eukaryota; Metazoa; Chordata; Mammalia; Primates; Hominidae.